AGUGAACGCUGGCGGCGUGCUUAACACAUGCAAGUCGAACGAGAACGGAUUAUAGCUUGCUAUAAUUGUCAGCUGAGUGGCGCACGGGUGAGUAAUGUAUAGGUUAUAUGCCUCUUACUAAUGGAUAACAAAUGGAAAUGCUUGCUAAUACCUGAUACUCCUUAUUAACAUAUGUUAAUAAGAGAAAGAUUUAUUGGUAAGAGAUUAGCCUGUAUUGUAUCAGUUAGUUGGUGGGGUAAUGGCUUACCAAGACUAUGACACAUAACUGGUUUGAGAGGAUGAUCAGUCACACUGGAACUGAGACACGGUCCAGACUCCUACGGGAGGCAGCAGUGGGGAAUAUUGCACAAUGGACGAAAGUCUGAUGCAGCAACGCCGCGUGGAGGAUGACACAUUUCGGUGCGUAAACUCCUUUUAUAUGAGAAGCUAAUGACGGUAUUAUAUGAAGAAGCACCGGCUAACUCCGUGCCAGCCGCCGCGGUAA
RNAcentral lists this ribosomal RNA (484 nucleotides) under uncultured bacterium. Its description in RNAcentral is "partial 16S ribosomal RNA". It matches the Rfam family "Bacterial small subunit ribosomal RNA", at positions 29 to 523 of the family's 1533-position model. The record is from RNAcentral.